RNAcentral lists this ribosomal RNA (225 nucleotides) under uncultured bacterium. RNAcentral describes it as "partial 16S ribosomal RNA". It matches the Rfam family "Bacterial small subunit ribosomal RNA", at positions 328 to 539 of the family's 1533-position model. The record is from RNAcentral.
ACGCUCGACACCUACGGGAGGCAGCAGUUAGGAAUAUUCGUCAAUGGGGGAAACCCUGAACGAGCAAUGCCGCGUGUGUGAUGAAGGCCCUCUGGGUUGUAAAACACUGUUGUUUGGAAAGAAUUGUAUAAGUAGGAAAUGACUUAUACUUGACGGUACCAUUCAAGAAAGCCACGGCUAACUACGUGUCAGCAGCCGCGGUAAUCUGAGGCGGGCUGGCAAGGC